Molecule: ribosomal RNA, 253 nt
Filed under: uncultured bacterium
Lineage: Bacteria
Description: partial 16S ribosomal RNA
Rfam family: Bacterial small subunit ribosomal RNA
Source: RNAcentral
UACGUAGGGGGCGAGCGUUGUCCGGAAUCAUUGGGCGUAAAGCGCGCGCAGGCGGUUGGCAGAGCCCGGCGUGAAAGCCCCCAGCUCAACUGGGGGAGGCCGUCGGAGACCUGUCGACUUGAGGCCGGUAGGGGAGAGCGGAAUUCCCGGUGUAGUGGUGGAAUGCGUAGAUAUCGGGGGGAACACCAGUGGCGAAGGCGGCUCUCUGGACCGGUUCUGACGCUCAGGCGCGAAAGCGUGGGGAGCGAUCCGG